Molecule: transfer RNA, 72 nt
Filed under: Loxodonta africana (African savanna elephant)
Lineage: Eukaryota; Metazoa; Chordata; Mammalia; Proboscidea; Elephantidae
Rfam family: tRNA
About the family: Transfer RNA (tRNA) molecules are approximately 80 nucleotides in length. Their secondary structure includes four short double-helical elements and three loops (D, anti-codon, and T loops).
Source: Rfam by way of RNAcentral
GCCCUGGUGGCAUAGUGGUUAAGAGUUUGGCUGCUAACCAAAAGCUUGGCAGUUCGAAUCUACCCUAUGGGG